This 370-nucleotide ribosomal RNA is filed under the name uncultured Glomus. RNAcentral's name for it is "bacterial SSU rRNA". It matches the Rfam family "Eukaryotic small subunit ribosomal RNA", at positions 1491 to 1831 of the family's 1831-position model. The record is from RNAcentral. Lineage: Eukaryota; Fungi; Glomeromycota; Glomeromycetes; Glomerales; Glomeraceae.
ACGGCGCGCUACACUGAUGAAGUCAUCGAGUUCAUUUCCUUUAUCGGGAAGAUAUGGGUAAUCUUUUGAAACUUCAUCGUGCUGGGGAUAGAGCAUUGCAACUAUUGCUCCUGAACGAGGAAUCCCUAGUAAGUACAAGUCACUAGCUUGUGCUGAUUACGUCCCUGCCCUUUGUACACACCGCCCGUCGCUACUACCGAUUGAAUGGCUUAGUGAGGCCUUCGGAUUGAAAUUCGGAGACUGGCAACAGACUCUUGGUUUUGAAAAGUUGGACAAACUUGGUCAUUUAGAGGAAGUAAAAGUCGUAACAAGGUUUCCGUAGGUGAACCUGCGGAAGGAUCAUUACCGAUUUUUAGCGGACCUGAUCUUU